Molecule: long non-coding RNA, 1588 nt
Organism: Rhincodon typus (whale shark)
Lineage: Eukaryota; Metazoa; Chordata; Chondrichthyes; Orectolobiformes; Rhincodontidae
Exons: 3
Source: RefSeq, a predicted model, not a curated record
GUGUAGAGCUGGAUGAACACAGCAGGCCAAGUAGCAUCACAGGAGCCGGAAAGGUAACUGGACAUAUGGCAUCAUCAGAAACAAGCCCAGAAAACCAAGCGGAGGCUUGGGGACCGCUUUGCAGAACACCUACGCUCGGUUCGCACUAAACAACUGCACCUCCCAGUCGUGAACCAUUUCAACUCCCCCUCCCGUUCCUCAGAUGACAUGUCCAUCCUGGGCCUCGUGCAGUGCCACCAUGAUGCUACCCGAAGGUUGCAGGAACAGCAACUCAUAUUCCGCUUGGGAACCCUGCAGCCCAAUGGUAUCAAUGUGGACUUCACAAGUUUCAAAAUCUCCCCUCUCCCUACUGCAUCCCAAAACCAGCCCAGCUCGUCCCUGCCUCCCUAACCUGUCCUUCCUCCCACCUAUCCCCUCCUCCCACCUCAAGCCCCACCCCCAUCUCCUACCGACUAACCUCAUCCCGCCCCCUUGACCUGUCCGUCCUCCCUGGACUGACCUAUCUUCUCCCUAACUCCCCACCUACACUCAUCUUUACUGGCUUCAUGCCCACCUCUUUGACCUGUCUGUCUCCUCUCCACCUAUCUUCUCCUCUAUCCAUCUUCUAUCCACCUCCCCCUCUCUCCCUAUUUAUUUCAGAACCCCCUUCCCCUCCCCCAUUUCUGAAGAACGGUGUAGGCCUGAAAUGUCAGCCUUCCUGCUCCUCUGAUGCUGCUUGGCCUGCUGUGUUCAUCCAGCUCUACACAUAGUUUGGAUAUAGAUAAUGAGCAUCAAAAAACAACUCCUACAGUAACUUGGAAAUUCAUUGGUGUUUCACCAGUCUUGACGAACUAGAUAAUCCCUUUCCACAUAGUGUGCAGCAGCAGAAACAGACUCCAAUGAAAAAGGUUCAAUUCCAAAUAUGACUAACAGCAAACUACAGUCAUUGUAGUUACUUCUGAGCUUGCUGGUGUCUCAGCAGGUGGGCCGACUGACUGAUUCCCUUCCCACACAUGGAGCAGGUGAACAGUCUCUCUUCAGAGCGAACUCGCUGGUGAAAAACGAAUUGAGAUGAUUGCCUUGAGGCUAGACCCACUGCAAGAAUGCCAAAAUGGUCUUUCGUCAGAGUAAGCAAGCCGCUGGGCCAUCAGUCCUUGGUAACUUUUAUAGGAUUUUCCACAAUCUGAACAUUUAAAAUAUCUCUCAGAGUAAAGCAGCUGGUGUCUCAGCAGGCGGUAUGAGUGAGUGAAUGCCUUCCCACACUUGUGAAUUAAAAGUAUGAGAUUCAGUGAGGACUGAUCCGAGUCGGGCUGAAAGUCAUGAAAACUAUUGCUGCCAGAUUUCUGACAACAGGGUAACCGGUUUUAUUGUCUCCAGUACGAAUCCAGAUUCGACCAGAUCAAAAACAAAUGUACCCCAGUAGAUUUCGAUCUGAUCUCAUACUGGGCCAUGCGGGUUUUCUCUUCUGGAGCUAUUUGUUCCUUCUUUCGUUCCCUCUCUAAUUAAGUUAAACUGAGUCAGAGUCAUACAGCAUGGUAACAGACCCUUUGGUCCUACUAGUCCAUGCCAACCAUGUUCCCAAACUAAGCUAGGUCCGCCUACAGGUGCU